This 254-nucleotide ribosomal RNA is filed under the name uncultured bacterium. Its description in RNAcentral is "partial 16S ribosomal RNA". It matches the Rfam family "Bacterial small subunit ribosomal RNA", at positions 524 to 776 of the family's 1533-position model. The record is from RNAcentral.
UACGUAGGGUGCGAGCGUUGUCCGGAAUUAUUGGGCGUAAAGAGCUCGUAGGCGGUGUGUCACGUCGGCCGUGAAAACCUGCAGCUUAACUGUGGGCGUGCGGUCGAUACGGGCAUCACUGGAGUUCGGCAGGGGAGACUGGAAUUCCUGGUGUAGCGGUGAAAUGCGCAGAUAUCUGGAGGAACACCGGUGGCGAAGGCGGCAUCCUGGACCGACAUUGACGCUGAGGCGCGAAAGCCAGGGGAGCAAACGGG